This is a long non-coding RNA of Gambusia affinis (western mosquitofish), 1177 nucleotides long. RefSeq lists it as uncharacterized. The record is from RefSeq and is a predicted model, not a curated record. The transcript has 3 exons. NCBI's taxonomy places the organism in Eukaryota, Metazoa, Chordata, Actinopteri, Cyprinodontiformes, Poeciliidae.
GUUGGAGCAGGGAAGAGUGAGAUUAGGACGCGCUGGGAGGAGCAGAGCUGCAGGAGCCGACUACAUGUACCCAGAAGGAGGUGGGGAAAAAAGCCCAUUGUGUGGGUGGAAACUGUCCACUGUAAAAGUGUGGAAUCGAAGGAUGGCGAGCUAGAACGUCUGGAAGGAAAGACUGCACUUUGUGCUGAAGGACUUCUGCUUCUCCUGCCUGGUGGUAGGAGGCUCUUGCAGCGAACGAACAAUUUUAAAUUCCAUUGUGAUCUGACUUUUUUGUCACUACGGACCUGCACCAAGUACGUCAACAACAGUUGAUUGGGACCUCUAACCAACCCCAGCUGGGGUAGAUGAACUAAAGGGUGGAGGUUCAUUGGAACUGUGGAACGGAUGAUUAUUGUUUUCUUUAGUUAUUGUUUUGUUUUCUUUUCUUUUCCUUUAUUUUUGUGCAUUUCUUUUGCUAUGGCAAAUCAGAUCUUGUAAAUAUGUAUAAAUACCCACAAUAUAAAUUCAAGACACCUGCAAACUGCAAAAUUUCUACUGUCUCCUCCUUCAUGAGUCGAUCCUAUUCUCAGAAUUUCUAAACCUAACUCAUUGAUCUUGGUUACUACCCAUUUACAUUUAUUGAGAAAAGUAUUACCUUUCAUUAAUAUGCUACACAUCUGUUUUCAUUCUGCACGUAAAAUGGAGUGUCAUGAUCUUUGGGUGUUUAGGUUUUGGUUUUCAUACACAACACGGUUUUUUUGGCCUUAUCAGUUAAUUCAUGAGUGCUUUUUGGUUUUUAGGUUCCUCUGUCUGUGCAUUUUGGCUUCUUCUUGUUUGUUCAUAUUAGACUUUUUCCCUUUUGGUUUGUAGAUCCUUCUGUGUCUUGUUCAGCUCUAACUUGGAACAGCUGUUGUCAAUCCCACUGAUUAAGCUCACCUGAAUCCCAUAAAUCUCCACCAUUACCUCAACAGAUAAGCUCACAUGUUUUCAUUGUUGGCUCCAUCUGUUACAUAUUGUUGGUCAAGUCUUUGCUUUUUAAUGCCCCCUUUUAAAAGCCACAAUAUAAAACACAAAGGUCUUCCGAAUGAAAUACAGUAAAUAUUUGUAGAUUCUGUUACUUUCCUGCAAAUUGAAGAAAAAGUUACCCUACAAAUGAAAAACCACAAAAAAAAACAGUUAAAUCGUUUUUGAAAAGCAG